CUAGGAAUCUUGGGAAUGGGCGAAAGCCUGACCCAGCAACGCCGCGUGAGUGAUGAAGGCCUUCGGGUUGUAAAACUCUUUUGCAGGGGAAGAUGAUGACGGUACCCUGCGAAUAAGCCACGGCUAACUACGUGCCAGCAGCCGCGGUAAUACGUAGGUGGCGAGCGUUGUCCGGAUUUACUGGGCGUAAAGGGCGUGCAGGCGGUCCGUUAAGUUCAGGGUGAAAGCUCCCGGCUCAACUGGGAGAGGUCUCUGGAUACUGGCGGACUUGAGGGAGGUAGAGGAAAGUGGAAUUCCCGGUGUAGUGGUGAUAUGCGUAGAUAUCGGGAGGAACACCAGUGGCGAAGGCGGCUUUCUGGGCCUUACCUGACGCUGAGACGCGAAAGCGUGGGGAGCGAACCGG
Molecule: ribosomal RNA, 403 nt
Filed under: uncultured bacterium
Lineage: Bacteria
Description: bacterial SSU rRNA
Rfam family: Bacterial small subunit ribosomal RNA
Source: RNAcentral